Non-coding RNA from Paramuricea clavata, 203 nucleotides. NCBI's taxonomy places the organism in Eukaryota, Metazoa, Cnidaria, Anthozoa, Malacalcyonacea, Plexauridae. The record is from the annotation of a GenBank genome assembly.
CAAGGUUGACGACACAAGGUUGCAGCAAUACUGCUAUAUCAUGACUCUAUCGGACUUGUUGGAAAACCUUGUAACAAGCCUGAUAAUAAUUUAUUAAGUUGUUAACAAUUUGUAACAACCUUGUUGAUACUGAUCAGAUUUGUUGCAAGGUCGAUACAGUCAUGAUAUAACAAUAUUGUUACAACCUUGUGUCGUCAACAUUC